This 497-nucleotide ribosomal RNA is filed under the name uncultured bacterium. RNAcentral's name for it is "partial 16S ribosomal RNA". It matches the Rfam family "Bacterial small subunit ribosomal RNA", at positions 28 to 507 of the family's 1533-position model. The record is from RNAcentral.
GAUGAACGCUGGCGGCGUGCCUAAUACAUGCAAGUCGAGCGAACAGACGAGGAGCUUGCUCCUCUGACGUUAGCGGCUGACGGGUGAGUAACACGUGGAUAACCUACCUAUAAUACUGGGAUAACUUCGGGAAACCGGAUCUACUACCGGAUAAUAUAUUGAACUGCAUGGUUUAAUAGUUAAAGACGCUUUUGCUGUCACUUUUAGAUGGAUCCGCGCCGCAUUAGCUAGUUGGUAAGGUAACGGCUUACCAAGGCAACGAUGCGUAGCCGACCUGAGAGGGUGAUCGGCCACACUGGAACUGAGACACGGUCCAGACUCCUACGGGAGGCAGCAGUAGGGAAUAUUCCGCAAUGGGCGAAAGCCUGACGGAGCAAAGCCGCGUGAGUGAAGAAGGUCUUCGGAUCGUAAAACUCUGUUAUUAGGGAAGAACAAAUGUGUAAGUAAAUAUGCACGUCUUGACGGUACCUAAUCAGAAAGCCACGGCUAACUACGUG